CGGUGGAGCAUGUGGUUUAAUUCGAAGCAACGCGAAGAACCUUACCAGGCCUUGACAUGCAGAGAACUUUCCAGAGAUGGAUUGGUGCCUUCGGGAACUCUGACACAGGUGCUGCAUGGCUGUCGUCAGCUCGUGUCGUGAGAUGUUGGGUUAAGUCCAUAACGAGCGCAACCCCUAUCAUUAGUUGCCAUCAGGUCAAGCUGGGGACUCUAAUGAAACUGCCUACGCAAGUAGUGAGGAAGGUGGGGAUGACGUCAAAUCAGCACGGCCCUUACGUCCAGGGCGACACACGUGCUACAAUGGCCGGCACAGCGGGAAGCGAGGCAGUGAUGCCAAGCGGAUCCCUUAAAGCCGGUCUCAGUUCGGAUUGAAGUCUGCAACUCGACUUCAUGAAGCUGGAAUCGCUAGUAAUCGCAGAUCAGCCAAGCUGCGGUGAAUACGUUCCCGGGCCUU
Molecule: ribosomal RNA, 453 nt
Filed under: uncultured Rikenellaceae bacterium
Lineage: Bacteria; Pseudomonadati; Bacteroidota; Bacteroidia; Bacteroidales; Rikenellaceae
Description: bacterial SSU rRNA
Rfam family: Bacterial small subunit ribosomal RNA
Source: RNAcentral